CAGUAGCCCGGUAAUACGAAGGGGGCUAGCGUUGUUCGGAUUUACUGGGCGUAAAGGGCGCGUAGGCGGACUGAUAAGUCAGGGGUGAAAUCCCAAGGCUCAACCUUGGAGCUGCCUUUGAUACUGUUUGUCUUGGGUUCGAGAGAGGUAAGUGGAACUGCGAGUGUAGAGGUGAAAUUCGUAGAUAUUCGCAAGAACACCAGUGGCGAAGGCGGCUUACUGGCUCGAAACUGACGCUGAGGCGCGAAAGCGUGGGGAGCAAACAGGGUUAGAUACCCCCGUAGUCCCUGUCUCUUAUACA
This 301-nucleotide ribosomal RNA is filed under the name uncultured bacterium. RNAcentral's name for it is "partial 16S ribosomal RNA". It matches the Rfam family "Bacterial small subunit ribosomal RNA", at positions 509 to 808 of the family's 1533-position model. The record is from RNAcentral.